RNAcentral lists this small RNA (79 nucleotides) under Flavobacterium gillisiae. RNAcentral describes it as "Flavo-1 RNA". It matches the Rfam family "Flavo-1 RNA". The record is from RNAcentral. Lineage: Bacteria; Pseudomonadati; Bacteroidota; Flavobacteriia; Flavobacteriales; Flavobacteriaceae.
UUCUAGCCCAGAUAGCAGCGGCAUCCUCUUGCGGUAGCGCUAGCGGACACAAGAGAUAUAGCGGAUAGCUGGACACGAG